CACCUUCUUCCCUCUGUCUCCUGGUCAGCACAAUAUAGAAGCUUCCUGCGUUAUGUAUUCAUGGCUUCGAUACUCUGUCCAGCAACAAGACUCAAAAUAAUCGAGAUGCAACCUUUGAACCAUGAGUCAAAGUAAACUUUAGUCCAUGGGAACAAGUGACCAUCUAGCAAGCAGUUAUGGAGAGAGAGCCGCACACGGCAAAGCAGUAAAGCCCCUGGCCAUCCGCCAAUGCCAACAGCCAUGGAAGCAAACCUCGAAGCCAAUUCUCCAAUUCCAGUAAAGUCAUAAAAGCUCGAUAGCUGGCUGUGAAGCUGGCGGGCAACUUCAAGAUCUCUCAAGAAAAAAUAGGAGCCAAAAGCACACAGCUAUGGUGCCUCCUGACCUUCAGAAAUUCAUAUGAUAAUAAAUCUUUGCUGUUUUAAUUGCC
Molecule: non-coding RNA, 427 nt
Organism: Rattus norvegicus (Norway rat)
Lineage: Eukaryota; Metazoa; Chordata; Mammalia; Rodentia; Muridae
Source: RefSeq, a predicted model, not a curated record